RNAcentral lists this ribosomal RNA (569 nucleotides) under Fusarium sp. Its description in RNAcentral is "partial large subunit ribosomal RNA". It matches the Rfam family "Eukaryotic large subunit ribosomal RNA", at positions 76 to 670 of the family's 3401-position model. Lineage: Eukaryota; Fungi; Ascomycota; Sordariomycetes; Hypocreales; Nectriaceae. The record is from RNAcentral.
UGCCUAGUACGGCGAGUGAAGCGGCAACAGCUCAAAUUUGAAAUCUGGGUCUCGGGCCCGAGUUGUAAUUUGUAGAGGAUGCUUUUGAUGCGGUGCCUUCCGAGUUCCCUGGAACGGGACGCCAUAGAGGGUGAGAGCCCCGUCUGGUUGGAUGCCAAAUCUCUGUAAAGCUCCUUCGACGAGUCGAGUAGUUUGGGAAUGCUGCUCUAAAUGGGAGGUAUAUGUCUUCUAAAGCUAAAUACCGGCCAGAGACCGAUAGCGCACAAGUAGAGUGAUCGAAAGAUGAAAAGCACUUUGAAAAGAGAGUUAAAAAGUACGUGAAAUUGUUGAAAGGGAAGCGUUUAUGACCAGACUUGGGCUUGGUUAAUCAUCUGGGGUUCUCCCCAGUGCACUUUUCCAGUCCAGGCCAGCAUCAGUUUUCGCCGGGGGAUAAAGGCUUCGGGAAUGUGGCUCUCUCCGGGGAGUGUUAUAGCCCGUUGCGUAAUACCCUGGCGGGGACUGAGGUUCGCGCAUCUGCAAGGAUGCUGGCGUAAUGGUCAUCAACGACCCGUCUUGAAACACGGACCCAG